Schizosaccharomyces pombe (fission yeast) is the source of this 825-nucleotide non-coding RNA. The record is from the annotation of a GenBank genome assembly. NCBI's taxonomy places the organism in Eukaryota, Fungi, Ascomycota, Schizosaccharomycetes, Schizosaccharomycetales, Schizosaccharomycetaceae.
UAUUUACAUAUCAAAUUCUUUUAAAAUCAUUACAUGUAUAAUUUUCGAUGCACACAAUUAUGUGAGAUGCAUGGUUCAUGUUGACAAACUCUCCUAAUGUCAUAGUUGCCAGUUGUUUUGAAGUUAUGCGGUUUAUUGAAACAGACUUAAAGGACUUAACUCGUUUGCAAAUCUCGUAUUUCUUUUAAAUAAUUGAUAUUCACCGAAGUCAAUUACCCUGUAAUUAUAGAUGACUUGUAAUUGUUUACAAAAACACCUAAGACGACAUUAGCGAUUUUGCAAGUGAAAUCAAAUUUAAAAUACGUUCAAUUCUUUGUAAUGAUACGUCAAGGAAUUCAGUAUUGUGUGGUAGAGGAAGACGAUCGUCAAGCUGACUUUCCAACUCUGAAAUAAGCCUCGAGUAGACGCUUAAAGUGGCUUGAUGGCUUGAUUCAGUUCUUUCCAUAACUGGCGCCUUUGUUGUUUGCUGUGAUCUUUCCGCAUCAUUUGUUUUAGAUAUAGGUAAGGAAGCUAUCUUUGGAGCAGAUUCAGCGACUGUUACAUGUUCAGAGGCAUCAGAUUCCUUUAGGUCGUUUAUACAUGAAACACAAAACAUAGGGUUGUCACGAAGUCGCAUCAUAGGUACCUAGAAUAGUGUUAGAAAAAGGGUAAUAGUAAAAUUGGUUUUGUUUUAAAAACCAAGGUAGCAAAAGCAUUUUGAGAAAAGAAAACUGACUUCCUUAAUAUCAUUCCGUUUGCCAUUGUAUUCACCUGAAGUUUAAACAACGACUAAAUACAAAAUUAAUUACCUUUUCACAUUUCGGACAAAUGGUAUCCAAGAGAGUA